AUUUCUGUCUCUUCUAAGUGAGCACAGUAGGUAGGGAACUCAAUGGAAGCAGUGUGCACACACACACACCCUUAGUAGAAUAUGGAGCAUUAUUCUUUACCAAAAGUAGCUAUUCUCUGCCAGUGUACUGUUUACAGUGUAAAUUGAUUGUCCUCCGUCAAAAUCAAGUCUAAGCGGCAUUUUACUUUUCUUUUCUUUUUUAUUUUCCAUUUUUGGGUGUUCUAGAUAGGAUUAUUAUCAAAAGUAGGAGGAAAAAGAAAUGUUUGUGAGUGCAAGAUUAAAGACAGAGCGCAUGAGCAGAGUACUGAUGGUGUGCGUGUUUGUGUGUGUGUAUAUGUGUGUGUAUAAGAGAGAAAGAGAAAUCGAAAAGAGAGAGAAAUUUCAACUUGUUUUCUUUUACCAGAGAAUCCAAGAAGCAGUUUAAGGAACCUGAUAUUGGAGUUUAAUCUAGAAACUGGAUGAUCUCAUAUUGAUUCAUGAUGCUUAAUCUUUCAUUGAAACUCCACAAUUAAAAUAACAAAUAGAGAAAGAAAACUAACUUUCCUAAAUAUGGCAAAGAAACUAACACCUCAUUUAUUUUUAUUUCUUUGUAAAAAUAUAAAUAUCUCAAUCAAAAGUACAGGCUCAUUUGUAAUUAUGUACUCAUGAUUGUAACAGCAUUGAGAUUUCAUAUAGGCACAUGUAUAGCAGCUGUUUGACAGUGAUGGCUCUUCCAUGUAACAUAGCAGUUAUCGUGUAAUUUAGUGCCACUUAUUGCAAAGUGUUACCAAGGGGAACAUUUCAAAUGCCUUUUGUUUUUCUUUGGACAUCAAGGUAAUUUAGUGGACAACAAAUAUUAAAUUUUACAUUAUGCUUUUUAAUUGUGGAGAAAAUGCAAAACCUCAUGUCUUACCACAACUUUCCCAUGGUAUUGCUAAUUACUUAGAGUCUCUAAAAUUGCCCAAUAUUAUUUCCCUUUGCAAAUGGUAAUUUCUGAUAAAACAAUACAAAACAAAAAAAAAGCAGUAAUCACAGCCAAAUAAAUGAAACACCUAAUGAGAAUUACUGUUGAGUAAUGCUUUUUAUUAAGUGGCACAAAGUACACACUAAAAACUAUGCAAAAUAUAGGUAACUACAGUGUACGUACAUGUAAGUAUCUUGUACUUGCUGUGUAUGGAUGUUGGAAACCCAUGUAAUUAUAAUAUGCAUUUUGAAUAUUGGGAAAGAGGAAAUCUUAGUGUAGAUAAUAGAAUUUGUUUUGAAAUAUACACUGGCAAUAUUGAAAUAUACUCAGUGCAAUAUCUGCAGUUCUAUUGCUGGAUACUUAAUGCAAAGGGAUUUUAAAGAAUUCUUCAGCAAGAUCCAAGAGGUUGCUAAUCUUCACCUCUCACAUACUAAAGCAUUCAUUAAAAAUACAACUAAUUCAAGGACAAGUUAAGUUUUUCUUAUUAAUGUGACACAGUAACAUUUUUAUUUGGAUUAGUUUUUGGUGUUAUUGCAGAGAAAGAAAUAACCUGAGUUUUAAAUUUCGAUUCAUAUCUCAUUGAAUUGGGAAUUCUUCAAUUUUGUUUGAAAUGUGUGCAUGUUUUCAUAGAUUGUAGCAAGUACAAAUGUAUUCAAUGAAAGAACAUAGGGUAGUUUUAAUAGUUAAAGUCACUAUAUCUUAAUGGGAAUUUUAAAAUAUCUUUUCUUUUUCUAUUCAUUUUUUCCCUUUCUCUCUCUAUUCUACCCCCAAACAAGCCCUUUGCACUCAUACCCUUCCAAAGGCAAUGGAUUGAAAGUAGCAAGAUAAUAAAGAGAGUUAAAGGGGACAACAUAUAACAAUGGGUUCUAAAAUCAUCAGCAUUUUUAUGUAUUGAGAUUAUUAAUAUUGAAUGCAAUAGUUAUUGGAUAUAGCUGGUAAGUUCUCUGCCAUGCAUACUUACAAUAAUCCUUCUACCUCUCACUUUUAACAUGGGCUAUGAUACUUCAAUAUAAAUAGAGGAAAUAAUUAUUUACCAGAUAUCCCAGGAAGCAUUCUUAUGGAACUAUUAUAACAGUGCACUCCCCACCCCCUGGGAAAUCUCAAAAGCCAAGUUCUUCAGUGUAUUCUAUGGUGUAUGAAUCUGCAUUUGUUUUUCCUUUUCUAUCAUUAGCUUUUCCUAAAGGCAAAAUAUUAUAACUUUAUAAGAAUAGUCCUUCUCCUGCCUAUUUAAUAUUUCAAUGUUAAUAUAAUUGUAUUGGUUUUUAAAAAUAAUUAAAAUGGCAACACUUUGCGAUCCAAUCUGAUAUUUAAUUUUUAAAAUGUAACAAUUUCUUAUAAAUUCAUGCUGUGUUUUAAGUAAAAAUCAUGUAUAUGAAUUAUUUUACCAAGUAGUAUUAUCUGCACGAGACAAAUUUAAGUAUUUUAAAAAUCAUCCUUAUUAAUAAAUAAUCCUCAUAUAAUGCACAGUAUUGCCACAAAUGCCCACUUCAUUUUGUCUGCAUAGACAUAUUAAGAAUUUUUCAAUGAUGUAAUUUAAUUAUCCUAAAAGAAAUGACAGAUUCUUCUGUAGGAAAAAAUAAAAACAUGAAUAUCUCAAAUUAUAAUGGUUAAUCUCUAAAAUAUGCUUAAAGUAAGAUGUUUCUAUGUUAUGUGGUUAUGUUAUCAAUAAUAUUUGGUUGAUCUUCACAUAUUUUAUAUGCAUAUAUAUAUCAAGAAGUUAUAUAUAUAUAACUCAAGAAACUCAAGUUAUAUAUAUAUGUCAAGAAAUGUAUGAUUAUUUUGGAGAGAAUGGGCCCAAAUGUGAAAAAGAUAUAAAAAAAACAAAAAAAACAAAAAAAAAACACUAUUUUCCCCUACGAAAUAUACUGUAUAUUUCAAAAGAAGAAAAGUUAAAAGAUAUUUGAAGAUUGCAGGGGCAAAACAAAAACCUACCAGGGCUCAGCACUUAAGCACUUUUCCCACAUCCAGGGUCAAAGCAGCAGUAACUACAUGGACUUUUAAGUGCGGUAUGAAAUGCAACAUUACGCUUACAAACAGUACUGUCAAACCUCAAAUGCUUUCUUUCUUCAGAUGCUUUUUCGUGUACAUGAUACUAGUAGACACUUUUCUCUUUAUAUUUACUGAUAGUGAAAAUCAUACGCAAUAAAAUAUUGAUGUUUGAAGGCAGUGGUCACCAAUUGGUUAAAAAACUAUGAAAUGUAAACUGAAUUGUUAUAUCUCUAUCCUUUUUGCUUUUCUCUGUGUUUUUAAUGUAUGGAAUAAAUCUCAUAAAUAGAAAG
This 3222-nucleotide long non-coding RNA is filed under the name Homo sapiens (human). RNAcentral describes it as "non-protein coding lnc-CHMP2B-5:1". The record is from RNAcentral. Lineage: Eukaryota; Metazoa; Chordata; Mammalia; Primates; Hominidae.